This 503-nucleotide ribosomal RNA is filed under the name uncultured bacterium. RNAcentral's name for it is "partial 16S ribosomal RNA". It matches the Rfam family "Bacterial small subunit ribosomal RNA", at positions 28 to 523 of the family's 1533-position model. The record is from RNAcentral.
GAUGAACGCUAGCGGCAGGCCUAACACAUGCAAGUCGAGGGGUAGCAGGAUUAAGCUUGCUUAAUUGCUGACGACCGGCGCACGGGUGCGUAACGCGUAUGCAACCUACCUUAUACUGGGGUAUAGCCCGGAGAAAUUCGGAUUAAUCCCCCAUAGUACUAAUGAAUCGCAUGGUUUAUUAGUUAAAGCAUUGCGGUAUAAGAUGGGCAUGCGUCCUAUUAGCUAGAUGGUGAGGUAACGGCUCACCAUGGCUACGAUAGGUAGGGGGCCUGAGAGGGUGGUCCCCCACACUGGUACUGCGACCCGGACCAGUCUCCUACGGGAGGCAGCAGUGAGGAAUAUUGGUCAAUGGGCGCAAGCCUGAACCAGCCAUGCCGCGUGCAGGAAGAAUGCCCUAUGGGUUGUAAACUGCUUUGAUUUGGGAAUAAACCCCUUUACGUGUAGAGAGCUGAAGGUACCAAAUGAAUAAGCACCGGCUAACUCCGUGCCAGCCGCCGCCGUAA